Micropterus salmoides (largemouth bass) is the source of this 471-nucleotide non-coding RNA. Lineage: Eukaryota; Metazoa; Chordata; Actinopteri; Centrarchiformes; Centrarchidae. The record is from the annotation of a RefSeq genome assembly.
CAACAUAAACCAUGUUUUCUGUAGCUCUGCUGCUGCUGUUGGCAGCUGGAUGUGUGAAGUGUGAACAGUUGACACAGCCAGCCUCUGUGACUGUGCAGCCAGGUCAACGUCUGACCAUCACCUGUCAGGUCUCUUAUUCUCUUAGCAGCUACUACACAGCUUGGAUCAGACAGCCUGCAGGGAAAGGACUGGAGUGGAUUGGAAGUGGAUGUGUUGGAUGCACUUCAAGCUACAAAGAUUCACUAAAGAACAAGUUCAGUAUUGACUCAGAUUCUUCCAGCAACACAGUGACUCUAAACGGACAGAAUGUGCAGCCUGAAGACACUGCUGUGUAUUACUGUGAGAUCCACAAUAACACAAACCAUCAGCAGACCUGAACAAAAACCCCUCAGUGCCUGAACACUUGUAACAUGAAGCCACCAGAGGAGGAGCCCUCAGACCACUAAUGACUUCAACACCAGUUCACUGUUA